UAGGGAAUCUUCGGCAAUGGACGAAAGUCUGACCGAGCAACGCCGCGUGAGUGAAGAAGGUUUUCGGAUCGUAAAACUCUGUUGUUAGAGAAGAACAAGGACGUUAGUAACUGAACGUCCCCUGACGGUAUCUAACCAGAAAGCCACGGCUAACUACGUGCCAGCAGCCGCGGUAAUACGUAGGUGGCAAGCGUUGUCCGGAUUUAUUGGGCGUAAAGCGAGCGCAGGCGGUUUCUUAAGUCUGAUGUGAAAGCCCCCGGCUCAACCGGGGAGGGUCAUUGGAAACUGGGAGACUUGAGUGCAGAAGAGGAGAGUGGAAUUCCAUGUGUAGCGGUGAAAUGCGUAGAUAUAUGAAGGAACACCAGUGGCGAAGGCGGCUCUCUAGUCUGUAACUGACGCUGGGGCUCGAAAGCGUGGGGAGCAAACAGG
Molecule: ribosomal RNA, 429 nt
Filed under: Gemmatimonadota bacterium
Lineage: Bacteria; Pseudomonadati; Gemmatimonadota
Description: Gemmatimonadetes bacterium partial 16S ribosomal RNA
Rfam family: Bacterial small subunit ribosomal RNA
Source: RNAcentral